Molecule: ribosomal RNA, 465 nt
Filed under: uncultured bacterium
Lineage: Bacteria
Description: partial 16S ribosomal RNA
Rfam family: Bacterial small subunit ribosomal RNA
Source: RNAcentral
GACGAACGCUGGCGGCGUGCUUAACACAUGCAAGUCGUACGGUAAGGCCCUUUCUGGGGUACACGAGUGGCGAACGGGAGAGUAAAACGUGAGUAACCUGCCCACAACUUCGGGAUAACGCUAGGAAAUUGGCGCUAAUACUGGAUAUGUGUUCCUGCUGCAUGGUGGGGGUUGGAAAGCUCCGGGGGUUGGGGAUGGACUCGCGGCCUAUCAGCUUGUUGGUGGGGUAGUGGCCUACCAAGGCGGCGACGGGUAGCCGGCCUGAGAGGGUGACCGGCCACAUUGGGCCUGAGAUACGGCCCAGACUCCUACGGGAGGCAGCAGUGGGGAAUAUUGCACAAUAGGCGCAAGCCUGGUGCAGCAACGCCGCGUGCGGGAUGACGGCCUUCGGGUUGUAAGCCGCUUUCAGCAGGGACGAGGCGUUUUGUGACGGUACCUGCAGAAGAAGCACCGGCUAACUACGUG